RNAcentral lists this long non-coding RNA (537 nucleotides) under Oryza sativa (Asian cultivated rice). Its description in RNAcentral is "long non-coding RNA (OSAT_LNC000728)". The record is from RNAcentral. Lineage: Eukaryota; Viridiplantae; Streptophyta; Magnoliopsida; Poales; Poaceae.
AGAGGCUAUCCGGGUUUGGCCUUAAACCCUCUGCUGCUUUCUCCAGGCCCCAUGUGCCGUCGGCGGCGGCCUCCCUGCAGCCAAGCCGUCGCGUCCGCGUCGUGUUCGAGGACCCUGACGCGACGGACUCCGACUCUGACGACGACGAGGACGCCGGCGCCGCCUCAAAGAAGCGCUACUUUGAGCUCUUCAUUGGCAAGCCAGCUUCGUCGACGAAGCAGGCCUCUCCGGCGUCCACCGUCGCUGCCUACGCCAACAUCGGCAAGGUUGGGAGCACCUGCUACCGUGGUGUGCGCCUCCGGAAGUGGGGCAAGUGGGCGGCGGAGAUCCGCAACCCCUUCACCGGCCAUAGGGAGUGGCUUGGCACCUUUGACACUGCUGAUGCGGCCUCCGCCGCCUACCAGUCUGCCUCCCGCAACUUCGCCGAAGAGAAGCGCCGCCGUGGUGUGGCCUCCUCUGCCUCACCUGCUAGUUCGGCGACCCCUACUCCGACUGCGUCCUCGUCGUCCUCGACUUCUGCCGCGCCAUUCGCCCACC